Molecule: non-coding RNA, 93 nt
Organism: Acanthosepion pharaonis
Lineage: Eukaryota; Metazoa; Mollusca; Cephalopoda; Sepiida; Sepiidae
Source: the annotation of a GenBank genome assembly
UGAAACAUUGUUUCCUGUAUGAUCAUUGAAGUUAAGCAACUUUGUGUCUGGUCAGUACCUAGAUGGGUGACCGCUUGGGAAUACCAGGAGCUG